CAGUCGCCGCGGUAAUACAGAGGGUGCAAGCGUUAAUCGGAGUUACUGGGCGUAAAGGGCGCGUAGGCGGUUAUAUAAGUGAGAUGUGAAAUCCCUGGGCUUAACCUAGGAACUGCAUCUUAUACUGUAUGGCUAGAGUAUUGUAGAGGGUAGUGGAAUUUCCGGUGUAGCGGUGAAAUGCGUAGAGAUCGGAAGGAACACCAGUGGCGAAGGCGGCUACCUGGACAAAUACUGACGCUGAGGCGCGAAAGCGUGGGGAGCAAACAGGAUUAGAUACCCCUGUAGUCCCUGUCUCUUAUAC
This 301-nucleotide ribosomal RNA is filed under the name uncultured bacterium. Its description in RNAcentral is "partial 16S ribosomal RNA". It matches the Rfam family "Bacterial small subunit ribosomal RNA", at positions 509 to 807 of the family's 1533-position model. The record is from RNAcentral.